RNAcentral lists this long non-coding RNA (551 nucleotides) under Gadus morhua (Atlantic cod). RNAcentral's name for it is "lncRNA (ENSGMOG00000025465.1)". The record is from RNAcentral. Lineage: Eukaryota; Metazoa; Chordata; Actinopteri; Gadiformes; Gadidae.
UGUCUUCCAUUUUACAAGUGAACCUCAGAUGCAGGAGGUGGGGUGUGUUGCGUCCCCAGGUGAUUUACUGCUGAGACCAACUGUGUUUGUAACCAGACCAAGAAUCCAUGGCUGAAGGAGCUGAUGGAGGAGCCGUGCUGAAGAAGUUGAUGGAGGAGCCGUGCUGAAGGAGCUGUUGGAGGAGCUGAUGGAGGAGCCGAGCUGAUGGAGGCGUCGUGCUGAAGGCCCUGCCUGGUGGAGGCCCUGCCUGGUGAAGGACGUCUGUCGUGGGACCAGGACUCUGUCGGAGGAGAGCUGCUGGAGGACGACUAGGAAUCGACCAACAAGGAUUCCUCAACGUGUUUCUGGAGCGGAGGCGAGCUGGUAGGGGAGCCGCAAAUCUGGAGGACGACAUCACUCCACCAACCAGGAUCCUCGUCUAUCAUGGACAUGUAACUGCAGUUCUGUGAGUAUCCCAACUUGACCAUGAAGUUGAACUGCGAACUGUAAGUCAUAAGUUUCUCAUUAAUCUUGGGCACAUUGCUGUAUUUUGGCUUCCUAGUGAGUUAACC